RNAcentral lists this transfer RNA (67 nucleotides) under Marmota monax (woodchuck). Its description in RNAcentral is "tRNA.Ala". Lineage: Eukaryota; Metazoa; Chordata; Mammalia; Rodentia; Sciuridae. The record is from RNAcentral.
GGCUGUAGCUCAGUGGUAAAGCACCUGCCUCGCAUGCUUGAGGUCCUGGGUUCGAUCCUCAACACCA